CAAUUAUCAAAGUCUUCUCUCCUCUUCUCUUCUCCCUUUAUAUAUUCAAUUCUCUUCUCGUUUCCAAAACCACACAAAACAACCCAUUAAACCUUUCAAUCUCUCUCUGUCUCUCCUUGUUAAUUUCUCCAUCGAUUUCUCCAUCUUUAGCUAAGCAAAGAUGCAGCAGGCAAUCCCUUACAAGUCAUGGCUGCCUCUAUACACCACCACCACCAACCCUCUAACCCUUAACCACACUUCCACUAAUGGUCUCGUUGAUUAUAAGAAAAUGUUAAAAGGGUCGAAAAACAUGGUCAGUAUGGUUCAAGAGAAUGCUAUUAUAGUGUUUGCUAGGCGGGGGUGCUGUAUGAGCCAUGUAGUGAAGCGAUUGCUAUUAGGUCUUG
This 383-nucleotide unclassified non-coding RNA is filed under the name Hevea brasiliensis (rubber tree). The record is from RNAcentral. Lineage: Eukaryota; Viridiplantae; Streptophyta; Magnoliopsida; Malpighiales; Euphorbiaceae.